This 602-nucleotide long non-coding RNA is filed under the name Elaeis guineensis (African oil palm). RNAcentral's name for it is "long non-coding RNA (EGUI_LNC032605)". Lineage: Eukaryota; Viridiplantae; Streptophyta; Magnoliopsida; Arecales; Arecaceae. The record is from RNAcentral.
GAGGGGAAUAACGGCAAAGCAUUUGCUUAAUUCCGAAGCCAACAAGAGGGAAAAAGGCCGUCUAGGACGCGGCUUUUUAUCGCUAGCUCCGGCAGGAUUCCGGGCUUCUGUCGCCGUGGGAGCCACCACGUUACCCUGCUACUGCGUCUCGACGAGGCACCGGACACGAGCAUUUCAUUCGCCGGUGUCACGUUGAGGAUAACAAUGGAGGUAAAGUGAAGUCUUGUGAACCAAGUACGGGGUAGAGGUCCACCUUUGAGCUGGCCACUGACAUGAUUUCUUCUUGUUUAAUACCAUAUCUGGUACCCAAACUUUUAGCCCUCAAAAGUGCAUGUUGCUGCUCUGCUUUAGCUUGAUCUGUUUAAGAUAAAAGUCUUCAUAUGUGUUAAAUACAUCUUGUAGCUGGAUUUCUUUUCUUUUCAGUGCUUAACUCUUUUGUAGAUCUCUCUUUACAGGGAGGACAGCUUUAUGUGCAUGAACUUCUAGCUAGGUGUGAACAAAAGAAAGCGAGCAAAGGUCACACUGGCGUGCAUGAAUGUAAUGGGUCUCACCAGAGAUGUAGGUGGCUCCAAGCACAAAACAACACUUUGGGAUUUGGUCAU